Molecule: ribosomal RNA, 45 nt
Filed under: Iris pseudacorus
Lineage: Eukaryota; Viridiplantae; Streptophyta; Magnoliopsida; Asparagales; Iridaceae
Description: partial 28S ribosomal RNA
Source: RNAcentral
ACCGCGACCCCAGGUCAGGCGGUACUACCCGCUGAGUUUAAGCAU